This 398-nucleotide ribosomal RNA is filed under the name uncultured bacterium. Its description in RNAcentral is "partial 16S ribosomal RNA". It matches the Rfam family "Bacterial small subunit ribosomal RNA", at positions 360 to 775 of the family's 1533-position model. The record is from RNAcentral.
AAUCUUGCGCAAUGGGCGAAAGCCUGACGCAGCCAUGCCGCGUGAGUGAGGAAGGUCUUAGGAUUGUAAAAUUCUUUCACCGGGGACGAUAAUGACGGUACCCGGAGAAUAAGCCUCGGCUAACUUCGUGUUACCUGCCGCGGUAAUACGAAGGGGGCUAGCGUUGCUCGGAAUUUCUGGGCGUAAAGGGCGCGUAGGCGGAUCGUUCAGUCAGGGGUGAAAUCCCGGGGCUCAACCUCGGAACUAGUCUUGAUACUGGCGAUCUUAGGUAUGAGAGAGGUAUGUGGAACUCCGAGUGUAGAGGUGAAAUUCGUAGAUAUUCGGAAGAACACCAGUGGCGAAGGCGACAUACUGGCUCAUUACUGACGCUGAGGCGCGAAAGCGUGGGGAGCAAACAG